This 219-nucleotide long non-coding RNA is filed under the name Nicotiana benthamiana. RNAcentral describes it as "long non-coding RNA (NBEN_LNC042077)". The record is from RNAcentral. Lineage: Eukaryota; Viridiplantae; Streptophyta; Magnoliopsida; Solanales; Solanaceae.
AAACAAAAACAGAAAGCAUUAGUGACUCCCGCAGAAAAUAGUGAAAAUAAUUAACUAAAAAUAAGAAACAUACAUACAAUCGCAGGCAAUAAAAUCGAGCAGUAACUACCAUAACUAACAGCCACAGGAGGGCACACGCUAACAUACAAAUCGUCUAUGAGAAAACCUACUGACGUGCGAAGGACUCUAGUAGCCCCUAACCUACAACCCUGAUUCUGG